GUUAUUUUGGCAGAUUAGUGUUUUUGAUUUAGAAUCAAAUUAUGUGAAUUAUUUCACAGAUAAUA
Molecule: transfer RNA, 65 nt
Filed under: Elateroidea sp. 9 KM-2017
Lineage: Eukaryota; Metazoa; Arthropoda; Insecta; Coleoptera
Description: tRNA-Leu
Source: RNAcentral